This 429-nucleotide ribosomal RNA is filed under the name Chloroflexota bacterium. RNAcentral's name for it is "Chloroflexi bacterium partial 16S ribosomal RNA". It matches the Rfam family "Bacterial small subunit ribosomal RNA", at positions 355 to 776 of the family's 1533-position model. The record is from RNAcentral. Lineage: Bacteria; Bacillati; Chloroflexota.
UGGGGAAUAUUGCACAAUGGGCGCAAGCCUGAUGCAGCCAUGCCGCGUGUAUGAAGAAGGCCUUCGGGUUGUAAAGUACUUUCAGUCGGGAGGAAGGUGUCAAGGUUAAUAACCUUGGCAAUUGACGUUACCGACAGAAGAAGCACCGGCUAACUCCGUGCCAGCAGCCGCGGUAAUACGGAGGGUGCAAGCGUUAAUCGGAAUUACUGGGCGUAAAGCGCACGCAGGCGGUUGAUUGAGUCAGAUGUGAAAUCCCCGGGCUUAACCCGGGAAUGGCAUCUGAUACUGGUCAGCUAGAGUCUUGUAGAGGGGGGUAGAAUUCCAGGUGUAGCGAUGAAAUGCGUAGAGAUGUGGAGGAAUACCGGUGGCGAAGGCGGCCCCCUGGACAAAGACUGACGCUCAGGUGCGAAAGCGUGGGGAGCAAACAGG